Molecule: ribosomal RNA, 492 nt
Filed under: uncultured bacterium
Lineage: Bacteria
Description: partial 16S ribosomal RNA
Rfam family: Bacterial small subunit ribosomal RNA
Source: RNAcentral
AGUGAACGCUGGCGGUAGGCCUAACACAUGCAAGUCGAACGGCAGCACAGUAAGAGCUUGCUCUUACGGGUGGCGAGUGGCGGACGGGUGAGGAAUACAUCGGAAUCUACUUUUUCGUGGGGGAUAACGUAGGGAAACUUACGCUAAUACCGCAUACGACCUACGGGUGAAAGCAGGGGAUCUUCGGGCCUUGCGCGAUUGAAUGAGCCGAUGUCGGAUUAGCUAGUUGGCGGGGUAAAGGCCCACCAAGGCGACGAUCCGUAGCUGGUCUGAGUGGAUGAUCAGCCACACUGGAACUGAGACACGGUCCAGACUCCUACGGGAGGCAGCAGUGGGGAAUAUUGGACAAUGGGCGCAAGCCUGAUCCAGCCAUACCGCGUGGGUGAAGAAGGCCUUCGGGUUGUAAAGCCCUUUUGUUGGGAAAGAAAAGCAGCAGGUUAAUACCCCGCUGUUCUGACGGUACCCAAAGAAUAAGCACCGGCUAACUUCGUG